This 497-nucleotide ribosomal RNA is filed under the name uncultured bacterium. RNAcentral's name for it is "partial 16S ribosomal RNA". It matches the Rfam family "Bacterial small subunit ribosomal RNA", at positions 28 to 507 of the family's 1533-position model. The record is from RNAcentral.
GAUGAACGCUGGCGGCGUGCCUAAUACAUGCAAGUCGAGCGAACAGACGAGGAGCUUGCUCCUCUGACGUUAGCGGCGGACGGGUGAGUAACACGUGGAUAACCUACCUAUAAGACUGGGAUAACUUCGGGAAACCGGAGCUAAUACCGGAUAAUAUAUUGAACCGCAUGGUUCAAUAGUGAAAGACGGUUUUGCUGUCACUUAUAGAUGGAUCCGCGCCGCAUUAGCUAGUUGGUAAGGUAACGGCUUACCAAGGCAACGAUGCGUAGCCGACCUGAGGGGGUGAUCGGCCACACUGGAACUGAGAAUCGGUCCAGACUCCUACGGGAGGCAGCAGUAGGGAAUCUUCCGCAAUGGGCGAAAGCCUGACGGAGCAACGCCGCGUGAGUGAUGAAGGUCUUCGGAUCGUAAAACUCUGUUAUUAGGGAAGAACAAAUGUGUAAGUAACUAUGCACGUCUUGACGGUACCUAAUCAGAAAGCCACGGCUAACUACGUG